GUUUCUCACCCAAAAUCCCCAUUUCUCACCCCAAAUCCCCAUUUCUCACCCCAAAUCCCGUUCCUGACCCCAAAAUCCCCAUUUCUCACCCCAAAUCCCCGUUCCUGACCCCAAAAUGCCCGUUUAUCACCCCAAAUCCCAUCCCUGACCCCAAAAUCCCCAUUUCUCACCCAAAAUCCCCAUCCCUGACCCCAAAUCCCCAUUUCUGACCCCAAAUCCCCAUUUCUGACCCCAAAUCCCCUUUUUUUUACCCCAAAUCCCCAUUUCUCACCCCAAACCCCCAUUUCUCACCCCAAAAUCCCCAUUUCUCACCCCAAACCCCCAUUUCUGACCCCAAAUCCCCUUUUUUUUACCCCAAAUCCCCAUUUCUCACCCCAAACCCCCAUUUCUCACCCCAAAAUCCCCAUUUCUGACCCCAACCCCCCCCGUUCCUGCCCCCAAAUCCCUGUUUUUUACCCCAAACCCCCAUUUCUGACCCCAAAUCCCCAUUUUUGACCCCAAAUCCCCAUUUCUCACCCCAAAUCCCCAUUUCUGACCCCAAAUCCCCGUUUUUUACCCCAAAUCCCCCCAGACCCCCCUCCUCACCCCCUCCCCGCUCUGGGGGUGCCGCUGCUCCUCCUCCUCCUCCUCCUCCUCUCGGGGGGUCCCCUCAGGUUUGGGGGGGCCCCCCCCAGGCCUCGGGGGGGUUCCGGCCCCGCGUGGUGGGGGUGGGGGCGGCCGCGGGUGGAGCCCCCAGACCCACCGGACCCCCCCCCCCCCGCGGCCGCGCCCCCCGUAACCCCCACGGAAGCCGCGGCCGCGGGCGAAGAACUCCCCCCCCCGGGGGCGCCCCCCCCGCGGGACCCCCGCCCCACCCCCACCCCCACCCCCGUGGGGGGGGUCCCCAUCCCGCCGCCGCCCCCCACGCGGGGACCCCCCCCCACCGACCCCUCCCGGGGGAGCGCCGGGGUCUUUGUGGUGGGGGGGGGCGGGUUUGGUUUUGGGGGGUUUCGGGGGGUCUUUGGUGGGUGGGGGAGGGGCGGGGGUCUCCUCGUUGGCCCCUCCCCCCACCUCGUCUUUUUGGGGGGGUUUCUUGAUGGGCCCCGCCCGCCGCUGGGGGGGGGGCGCCCCCUUUUCGGGGGGCUCCUCGUGGUGGGGGUGGGGGGCGCCGCGGCGGGGGGGGGGGCGCCCCCCCGGGCCGGGGUCCCCAGCGGGUCUCGGUGCGCGACCCCCCCCCACCCCCACCCCCACCGCGGGGGGGUUUGUGGGGGUCGUGGGGGGCGCGGGGGGGGCGCCGUGAGCCCCCCCCCACAACCUCCUCUUUGGGGGGACCCCCCAGCGCUGUCCCGGCGCCCCCCCCCUCCUCCUUGGGGGGUUUUUGGGGAGGGGGCGGCUUUUUGGGGGGGUCCUUGAAGGAGGAGGGGGAGGGGGAGGGGGCGGCGGCGCCCGGGGGGGGCGGCGGUUCUGGGGGGGGGUCCCGUCGGGGCCGUUUUGGGGUUCGGGGGGGCGCGGGGGGGGCGGCGCGGCCGGGGGGAGGGUCCAGGGGCGGGGGGGGGUUUUUGGGGAGGGGUCUUCGGUGGGGGGGGGUGGGAAACGGGGUAAAGGGGGGCCCCCCCCGUUCUCGAAGGGGGGGUAGGAGUAAGGGGGGGGCGCGCCGGGGUCCCGCAGGCGGAUGGGGGGGGUCUCACUCCUGGGGGGGGGAGGGGAAAAAAAAAUGGGGUUAAAAAGGAAGAAAAACCCAAAAAGGUGAAAAUUCCCCCCAAAAUCCCCCUCCCCACUCACCGCAGCCCCUUCUCGUCGUCGCCGGGGGGGGGGUCGCAGGGCGGGGGGCAGCCCCCGGGGUUCGGGGGGGGUCGUGAAGGCAUCGCCCCCCCCCCAGGAGGGUUUGGGGUCCCCCGGGGGGGUCCCGCGGUCCCGCGGGGGGGGGCCCGGGGGGGGCUCCGAGGCGGAGCCGCCGCUGUCGGAGCGUUCCCGGGGCAGCAGGCCUGGGGGGGCACGGGGUGAGACCCCUCCCCAAAUAGGGGUUAUGGGGGGGAGAGCCCCCCAAACAUAGAACAUAAACCUCCCCCACCACCAAAAUAUCCCCUCUGGGGGUGAGACCCCCACCCAAAUAGCGGUUCUGGGGGGGAGACCCCCCCCAAACAUAGAACAUAACCCCCCCCACCCAAAAUAUCCCCUCUGGGGGUGAGACCUCCCAGAACCCCCCCAGGGCCCCCCCAAGCCCCCCAGAAUUACCCCCAAACCCCACCCAGGACCCCAAAACCACCCCAGGACCCCCCAAACCCCCCCAAACCCCCCCAGGACCCCCCAAAACCCCUCCCAAGCCCCACAAACCCCCCCAAACCCCCCCAAGCCCCCCAAACCCCUCCCAAGCCCCCCAGGACCCCUUUAAAGCCCCCCAGGACCCCCCCAAAGCCCCCAGGACCCCCC
Taeniopygia guttata (zebra finch) is the source of this 2409-nucleotide long non-coding RNA. The record is from Ensembl. Lineage: Eukaryota; Metazoa; Chordata; Aves; Passeriformes; Estrildidae.